UUUUGUCUCUAUUAGGUGAGGCUCCUAUACGGAGAGACGCUACUGCCCAGCAAUGUCGAGAGACGCCAAUGGGUCAACAGGAAAGAUCGGAGAGAAGGUCUUUCUUAAUGUAGCUGGUCAUAAAGACCUAUGCCGUAUAGUGCCAAAGCUCAAAUGAGGGGGACAACU
This 168-nucleotide small RNA is filed under the name Thermoactinomyces sp. RNAcentral's name for it is "Magnesium sequence". It matches the Rfam family "M-box riboswitch aptamer (ykoK leader)". From Rfam's summary of the family: M-box riboswitch, also know as ykoK leader is described as a metaloregulatory RNA that sense divalent metals and function as a genetic control element of genes related to divalent metal transport in bacteria. It was first reported upstream of the B.subtilis ykoK gene and genes with related functions in other bacteria. Lineage: Bacteria; Bacillati; Bacillota; Bacilli; Caryophanales; Thermoactinomycetaceae. The record is from RNAcentral.